This is a non-coding RNA of Cicer arietinum (chickpea), 280 nucleotides long. Lineage: Eukaryota; Viridiplantae; Streptophyta; Magnoliopsida; Fabales; Fabaceae. The record is from RefSeq and is a predicted model, not a curated record.
AAACUCUAAAUUCAUCAUCCUUAGGAAACUGUUCCUCAAUAGUUGAGGUUACUUUCCCAACAGCAGCAUCAUUUAGAGAAACUAAACAAAAGGUGGAAGUGGAGAGAGUUCAACUUCAAAAAUCAAAAGGGUGAUGAGGUUUGGUGGUAGUAUCAAUUUCUCCAAGUGGAUGUUGUUGGUUCAUCAAACACUGUUGAUUCGUUGAUUCUUCAUUCACCAACUCCUGUAUUAAGAACAGAUGCAUUACUGAUAUGAAAGUAUUAAUAACAUUCAUUACCAA